RNAcentral lists this ribosomal RNA (253 nucleotides) under uncultured bacterium. RNAcentral describes it as "partial 16S ribosomal RNA". It matches the Rfam family "Bacterial small subunit ribosomal RNA", at positions 524 to 776 of the family's 1533-position model. The record is from RNAcentral.
UACGGAGGGUGCAAGCGUUAUCCGGAUUCACUGGGUUUAAAGGGUGCGUAGGCGGUCCUAUAAGUCAGUGGUGAAAUCUCGCAGCUCAACUGUGAGGGUGCCAUUGAUACUGUAGGACUUGAGUGAAUUUGAGGUAGGCGGAAUUGACGGUGUAGCGGUGAAAUGCUUAGAUAUCGUCAAGAACACCGAUAGUGAAGACAGCUUACCAAGCUUCAACUGACGCUGAGGCACGAAAGUGUGGGGAUCAAACAGG